Molecule: long non-coding RNA, 856 nt
Organism: Ornithodoros turicata
Lineage: Eukaryota; Metazoa; Arthropoda; Arachnida; Ixodida; Argasidae
Exons: 2
Source: RefSeq, a predicted model, not a curated record
UCGAUCAGGAACAAGGGCAGGAACCAGUAACGGAGGUAAGUGACAAUUUUGCGUGGUCACAGCUAUACGCUGCGAUGAAAAAUAUCAGUUGUCACAGUAAACAUAAUCGCGAACACCUGGCCUCGCCGCCGAUUGUAACGUCACAGUCACACCGGCUACUAAUGUACACAAAUUAUUACAAUGAUUGCAGCAUCCUGACGCAAUAGUACGCGUACUCUAGAGAAAAAAUAUUGGUGUGUUGUUGCUGUGCUAAUUGUUGCCAGUAUUAUGCAGGAGUAACGUAACACUCCCACAUGACAGCAAUAUUCUAAUCUUAUUGCAGCUAGUGGAUGUUUCUACAGUUCAUAGUGUAAGCCUGAUGGUAGCAUUCAGGGAUGUGAAAGCAUCGCAAUCUGUGUUUGGCUACGUCCGAGACACUUGCAUCAGUGUUCUACUGCAGCCUUGUUGCUAAUUUCUGGCUCUAUUUCAGGCGGCAGCAAGCACGUCAACGGAAUCAACUGGAUUUGAUGUGGAGGUCAUGGCUGAAGCAAGUACUGGGGACCCACUUCACGGCGCAUCUCACAAGGGGGUUGUCAUCCCCUGAUUCCAGGAAGAGGAAAACAAUGGACACAGACUUGCAUAGCGUAUUAGUACACCAGAUAUGGAUCUGCCAACAUGAACCCUCCUAACAUCCCUGUGGCAGCGUACCUGUAACCGCCCAGACUUCACACCACAUUAAUGUAGAACCACAGCACAACAUAAUAAAAUAGCUUAGGUUUAUUUGCCUCCCAUACAUAAUGGGAGGCAAAUAAACCUAUGCUAUUUCGUUAUUCCCACUCCGUCAUACUCCACUGUACAAUAAAUCGAUACAAUUAUA